AGAGUUUGAUCAUGGCUCAGAUUGAACGCUGGCGGCAGGCCUAACACAUGCAAGUCGAACGGUAACAUUUCUAGCUUGCUAGAAGAUGACGAGUGGCGGACGGGUGAGUAAUGCUUGGGAACUUGCCUUUGCGAGGGGGAUAACAGUUGGAAACGACUGCUAAUACCGCAUAACGUCUACGGACCAAACGGGGCUUUUAGCUCCGGCGCAAAGAGAGGCCCAAGUGAGAUUAGCUAGUUGGUAAGGUAAUGGCUUACCAAGGCAACGAUCUCUAGCUGUUCUGAGAGGAAGAUCAGCCACACUGGAACUGAGACACGGUCCAGACUCCUACGGGAGGCAGCAGUGGGGAAUAUUGCACAAUGGGGGAAACCCUGAUGCAGCCAUGCCGCGUGUGUGAAGAAGGCCUUCGGGUUGUAAAGCACUUUCAGUUGUGAGGAAAAGUUAGUAGUUAAUACCUGCUAGCCGUGACGUUAACAACAGAAGAAGCACCGGCUAACUCCGUGCCAGCAGCCGCGGUAAUACGGAGGGUGCGAGCGUUAAUCGGAACUACUGGGCGUAAAGCGCACGCAGGCGGUUUGUUAAGCUAGAUGUGAAAGCCCCGGGCUCAACCUGGGAUAGUCAUUUAGAACUGGCAGACUAGAGUCUUGGAGAGGGGAGUGGAAUUCCAGGUGUAGCGGUGAAAUGCGUAGAUAUCUGGAGGAACAUCAGUGGCGAAGGCGACUCCCUGGCCAAAGACUGACGCUCAUGUGCGAAAGUGUGGGUAGCGAACAGGAUUAGAUACCCUGGUAGUCCACACCGUAAACGCUGUCUACUAGCUGUUUGUGACUUUAA
Molecule: ribosomal RNA, 831 nt
Filed under: uncultured marine microorganism
Description: bacterial SSU rRNA
Rfam family: Bacterial small subunit ribosomal RNA
Source: RNAcentral